CAGGACUUGGUAUGGAUCCUUAAGAAUCCUAUCACUUUUAAGCUCAGAGAUUACUUUGUCAUUUUCAAUUUGACGAUUCUUAAAUUGAACAUUGGAUUGAUGACUAGGUCCAGGUGGUUGCUGGAUGGGUGGGUUAUUUUCAAAAUUCAGUAUUGAUUGGCUCGGUAAUUGAUCUAGUUCUCUCCUCAUGGUAGAUUCAGCUAAUUGAUCUAUUUGUGC
RNAcentral lists this long non-coding RNA (219 nucleotides) under Elaeis guineensis (African oil palm). RNAcentral's name for it is "long non-coding RNA (EGUI_LNC041000)". The record is from RNAcentral. Lineage: Eukaryota; Viridiplantae; Streptophyta; Magnoliopsida; Arecales; Arecaceae.